Non-coding RNA from Mycena amicta, 81 nucleotides. The record is from the annotation of a GenBank genome assembly. Lineage: Eukaryota; Fungi; Basidiomycota; Agaricomycetes; Agaricales; Mycenaceae.
GGCCGUGUGGCGAAAUGGUUACCGCGUUGCUUUCCGGCCUAUGCUAGGCAAAGAUUGUGGGUUCGACUCCCAUCAUGGUCG